GAUGAAGAACGUAGCGAAAUGCGAUAAGUAAUGUGAAUUGCAGAAUUCAGUGAAUCAUCGAAUCUUUGAACGCACAUUGCGCCCGUCAGUAUUCUGGCGGGCAUGCCUGUUCGAGCGUCAUUACGCCCCUCAAGUCCCCUGUGGACUUGGUGUUGGGGAUCGGCCAGGCUGGUUUUCCAGCACAGCCGUCCCUUAAAUUAAUUGGCGGUCUCGCCGUGGCCCUCCUCUGCGCAGUAGUAAAACACUCGCAACAGGAGCCCGGCGCGGUCCACUGCCGUAAAACCCCCCAACUUUUUAUAGUUGACCUCGAAUCAGGUAGGACUACCCGCUGAACUUAAGCAUAUCAAUAAGCGGAGGA
RNAcentral lists this unclassified non-coding RNA (358 nucleotides) under soil metagenome. RNAcentral's name for it is "partial contains 5.8S ribosomal RNA, internal transcribed spacer 2, and large subunit ribosomal RNA". The stretch from base 1 to 120 matches the Rfam family "5.8S ribosomal RNA", at positions 35 to 154 of the family's 154-position model. The record is from RNAcentral.